GGUUGAGAAACUUUCUUAUGAGUCAUCUAGCAAAAGAUACAACAGUAUUCCUAACCCUGCUCCAGCCACAUCUACUGAAACACCUAUGGAUUUAGGGGUAUUACGUGGACCCCUAACUCAAGAGGAGAAGAAUAGAAGGAGAUUGAAUCAUCUCUGCAUGUAUUGUGGUUCUAAAGAACAUAUUCUGAGAGACUGCCCUAAUCUUCUAAAACAGAAGUCAGUGGGAUCAAAGACGACUGAAUAUUGAGGCCAUCGUGGAUACUGGGGCAACUGGUUGUUAUAUAGACAUAAGUUUAAUUGAAAAAAAUAAAAUACCACAUAUAGCAAAAGAAAAA
Bombina bombina (fire-bellied toad) is the source of this 335-nucleotide long non-coding RNA. RefSeq lists it as uncharacterized. The transcript is spliced from 2 exons. Lineage: Eukaryota; Metazoa; Chordata; Amphibia; Anura; Bombinatoridae. The record is from RefSeq and is a predicted model, not a curated record.